ACUAGUUUGUGAUCUCUCUAUUUACUCGAAUAAUUCAGGUAAUGGCUAGCAAGACAAAGAUAUAUAUUGUUAUGGAAUUUGUUACCGGUGGCGAACUGUUUGACAAAAUUGCUAGUAAAGGAAGGCUGAAAGAAGACGAAGCAAGAAAAUAUUUCCAGCAGCUAAUCAAUGCAGUAGACUACUGUCACAGUAGAGGUGUGUGCCACAGAGACCUCAAGCCUGAGAAUUUGCUGCUGGAUGCCAGUGGAUUUCUCAAAGUUUCAGAUUUUGGAUUGAGUGCUCUUCCGCAGCAACUUCGGGAAGACGGGCUACUGCACACAAAAUGUGGGACGCCAAACUAUGUUGCUCCUGAGGUGAUCAACAAUAAAGGCUAUGAUGGAGCGCAGGCAGAUCUUUGGUCCUGUGGUGUGAUCCUUUAUGUAUUCAUGGCUGGUUAUUUACCCUUUGAAGAAUCUAAUCUUAUGGCAUUAUAUAAAAAGAUAUUGAAGGCUGAUUUUACAUGUCCACCAUGGUUCUCCACAAGCGCAAAGAAACUAAUUAAAAAAAUCCUGGACCCCAAUCCUCAGACGCGUAUGACAUUUGCUGAGGUCAUUGGGAAUGAUUGGUUCAAGAAGGGCUAUAAGCCGCCAGUUUUUGAGCAGGAAAAUGUUAAUCUUGAUGAUGUGAAUGCGAUCUUUAAUGAAUCAGCGGACGCUUCAAAUCUUGUUGUCGAGAGACGGUUAGAACAACGGUCUACUGCACCACUGUCUAUGAAUGCCUUUGAACUAAUUUCUAAAUCUCAGGGCCUCAAUCUUAGCUCUCUUUUCGAAAAGCAAAUGGGGCUUGUUAAAAAAGAAACUAGAUUUACAUCCAAACGUCCUGCCAGCGAGAUAAUCUCAAAAAUCGAAGAAACCGUUGCACCGUUGGGAUUCAAUGUGAGGAAGAAUAACUAUAAGUUAAGGCUUGCUGGGGAAAAGACUGGUCGCAAGGGUAAUUUGUCCGUUGCAACAGAGAUUUUUGAGGUGGCCCCUUCGCUUUACAUGGUAGAGCUUCGAAAAGCCGAAGGAGAUACCUUAGAAUUUCACCAGUUCUACAAGAACCUAUCAGUUGGGUUGAAGGAUAUUGUUUGGAAAACUGACCAGGAAGUGAGAGCAGAACGCGAAGCUGGUGCAGGCACCGUGUCAGCGUAGUUCUGGCUGGAUUUUCGUGUUCUCCCUCGAGGCAUGACAUCUUGAGUGGCCUCGGGGAGUGAACUUAUGGUUGGAUUUUCGUGUUCUCGGUUAAAGCUUCAGCAACAUGUACAUUAUUAUUUGCCCUGUUCAACUCAUACUACAGAUGAAAUGGUUUGGAACAAACUAUGCCACUUCUGGAUGUGUAUAAUGACUGACUGAAUCUUCAUUUUUAUAAUAAUCAUCCUGAAACUCUAUAAAGUAAUUUUUAUGUUUUUCAUUCUUCAUUUUAUUUUCAUAUUUGCAAGGAAAAUGAAAAUUCACUCCAUGUUAAAUAGUUGAUGAGCUCAUGUAGUGUCUAAAGAAGAAUGUUUUCUUACUUUUGAGUAAACAAUUUUUUUUUUGUUUUUUUUUU
RNA transcript from Ipomoea nil (Japanese morning glory), 1563 nucleotides. It is a transcript of the gene named CBL-interacting serine/threonine-protein kinase 23-like, with no coding region annotated. Lineage: Eukaryota; Viridiplantae; Streptophyta; Magnoliopsida; Solanales; Convolvulaceae. The transcript has 14 exons. The record is from RefSeq and is a predicted model, not a curated record.